Long non-coding RNA from Nerophis ophidion (straightnose pipefish), 504 nucleotides. RefSeq lists it as uncharacterized. The record is from RefSeq and is a predicted model, not a curated record. The transcript is spliced from 3 exons. NCBI's taxonomy places the organism in Eukaryota, Metazoa, Chordata, Actinopteri, Syngnathiformes, Syngnathidae.
UCCACCUCACAAGUAGAACGUCUGCACACCAGCCUUUUUUUUUUGUUGCUCCUUUUAACUGUCAACUCCUGCUUUGCUCUCUCUUGUUCUCCGUCCCCGUCCUGCUUUCUGUGCUGUGCCGAGCUCGUCACUUUUGUCAGCGCUCGCUGGAGGUGAAGCGCAGAAGUCUGCUGAUGUGUAGCGAGGCCAUUGGUGGGUGUGACACUGUGAUACUGGUGUGGAGAGACGCAGCCGGCGGGCCGAUAGCGGGCUGAGAGGAGCGGUCCUGACAAAGAUGGAGGCCAGGAGGCAGGGCAUUCAGCAGAGAGGAGAGCUCAAAAAGGGCGAGGGAUGAACGAUCGUGGCAGACGCAGGAGAAGGAACCCCCUGACGACAUCGACCACGACCACGACGGACGAGACCCGGAAGACGAUGAGCCCCCGCAAUAGACGCAAACCCCGUACACCAACAGGUGCACUGCGACCGCAAGCAGGAAGCGCCCGCGCACUGAAAAGUGGUGCCACA